GUGGGAAAUAUUGGACAAUGGGCGAAAGCCUGAUCCAGCCAUGCCGCGUGUGUGAAGAAGGUCUUCGGAUUGUAAAGCACUUUAAGUUGGGAGGAAGGGCAGUAAGUUAAUACCUUGCUGUUUUGACGUUACCGACAGAAUAAGCACCGGCUAACUUCGUGCCAGCAGCCGCGGUAAUACGAAGGGUGCAAGCGUUAAUCGGAAUUACUGGGCGUAAAGCGCGCGUAGGUGGUUUUGUAAGUUGGAGGUGAAAUCCCCGGGCUCAACCUGGGAACUGCCUCCAAAACUGCAUGACUAGAGUACGGUAGAGGGUAGUGGAAUUUCCUGUGUAGCGGUGAAAUGCGUAGAUAUAGGAAGGAACACCAGUGGCGAAGGCGACUACCUGGACUGAUACUGACACUGAGGUGCGAAAGCGUGGGGAGCAAACAGGAUUAGAAACCCGAGUAGUCC
Molecule: ribosomal RNA, 450 nt
Filed under: uncultured bacterium
Lineage: Bacteria
Description: partial 16S ribosomal RNA
Rfam family: Bacterial small subunit ribosomal RNA
Source: RNAcentral